CUACCUUCUAUCAUUAUUAUUAUUAGCUCUGUUCUUUGCAGUGUAAUUGCUACAACGGUCUCUAAACUGAGACCAAUGAAAUCACCUGUAUUUUUCCCUUACGGAUGGGUGCUGUGAGUUUGCUCAACCCUGUCCACGGGUCGGCCUCGUAUUGCAUUACCUCGAAGAUAGGCCCAUUAUUG
This 182-nucleotide small nuclear RNA is filed under the name Trichobilharzia regenti. RNAcentral describes it as "U2 spliceosomal RNA". It matches the Rfam family "U2 spliceosomal RNA". Rfam says of the family: U2 is a small nuclear RNA (snRNA) component of the spliceosome (involved in pre-mRNA splicing). Complementary binding between U2 snRNA (in an area lying towards the 5' end but 3' to hairpin I) and the branchpoint sequence (BPS) of the intron results the bulging out of an unpaired adenosine, on the BPS, which initiates a nucleophilic attack at the intronic 5' splice site, thus starting the first of two transesterification reactions that mediate splicing. Lineage: Eukaryota; Metazoa; Platyhelminthes; Trematoda; Strigeidida; Schistosomatidae. The record is from Rfam by way of RNAcentral.